CGGGGCGUGGCGCAGCAGGUCAGCGCGCUGCACUGGGGGUGCAGAGGUCGCCGGUUCGAAUCCGGUCGCUCCGACCA
Molecule: transfer RNA, 77 nt
Filed under: Micromonospora sp. C51
Lineage: Bacteria; Bacillati; Actinomycetota; Actinomycetes; Micromonosporales; Micromonosporaceae
Description: tRNA-Pro
Rfam family: tRNA
About the family: Transfer RNA (tRNA) molecules are approximately 80 nucleotides in length.
Source: RNAcentral